RNAcentral lists this long non-coding RNA (258 nucleotides) under Phoenix dactylifera (date palm). RNAcentral describes it as "long non-coding RNA (PDAC_LNC016103)". The record is from RNAcentral. Lineage: Eukaryota; Viridiplantae; Streptophyta; Magnoliopsida; Arecales; Arecaceae.
UUUCAUGCACUCUCUCCAACUUGUCUUUCUCCCUAAACUUAGAUAUCUUGGUAUAAGUAAUGGACUGGAUCAGUGUUCCAAGGAAAGGGGGAGAAAUGGGGACUUGGGAGAUUGGCUGAUGAGGUGGGUGCUGCCACAGGCGUCGCCAAUGAAUUUCUUCUUAUUAUUCUUCUUUGAUUCCAAGAAACAGAACCGACUCUUUCUAUCUUUAUAUUCUUUUUGUCUUUUACUAAAUGGAUCAAUUUGUCUGGUAGCAUG